AGUGAACGCUGGCGGUAGGCCUAACACAUGCAAGUCGAACGGCAGCACAGUAAGAUCUUGCUCUUACGGGUGGCGAGGGGCGGACGGGUGAGGAAUGCAUCCGAAUCUACUAUUUCGUGGGGGAUAACGUAAAACAACUUACACUAAUACCGAAUACGUCCUACGGGUGAAAGCAGGGGAUCUUCGGACUUUGCGCGAUUGAAUGAGCCGAUGCCGGAUUAGCUAGUUGGCUGGGUAAAGGCCUACCAAGGCAACGAUGCGUAGCUGGCCUGAGAGGGUGAUCGGCCACACUGGAACUGAGACACGGUCCAGACUCCUACGGGAGGCAGCAGUAGGGAAUCUUCGGCAAUGGGCGAAAGCCUGACGGAGCAACGCCGCGUGAGUGAUGAAGGUCUUCGGGUCGUAAAACUCUGUUAUUGGGAAAGAACAAAUGUGGAAGUAACUAUGCACGUCUUGACGGUACCUAAUCAGAAAGCCACGGCUAACUACGUG
This 492-nucleotide ribosomal RNA is filed under the name uncultured bacterium. RNAcentral's name for it is "partial 16S ribosomal RNA". It matches the Rfam family "Bacterial small subunit ribosomal RNA", at positions 29 to 507 of the family's 1533-position model. The record is from RNAcentral.